This 252-nucleotide ribosomal RNA is filed under the name uncultured bacterium. Its description in RNAcentral is "partial 16S ribosomal RNA". It matches the Rfam family "Bacterial small subunit ribosomal RNA", at positions 524 to 776 of the family's 1533-position model. The record is from RNAcentral.
UACGUAGGUGGCAAGCGUUAUCCGGAAUGAUUGGGCGUAAAGGGAGCGCAGGCGGAACCAUAAGUCUGAAGUAAAAGCCAUCGGCUCAACCGAUGUAAGCUUUGGAAACUGUGGAUCUAGAGUGCAGGAGAGGACAGUGGAAUUCCAUGUGUAGCGGUAAAAUGCGUAGAUAUCACACAGAACACCGAUUGCGAAGGCAUCUCACGAAUCCGCUAUUGACGCUGAUGCACGAAAGCGUGGGUAUCAAACAGG